This 172-nucleotide small RNA is filed under the name Pongo abelii (Sumatran orangutan). RNAcentral's name for it is "processed transcript". The record is from RNAcentral. Lineage: Eukaryota; Metazoa; Chordata; Mammalia; Primates; Hominidae.
GCCCUGGGCGGGGGCGAGCGCGUCCGGUUUGCUGGAAGCGUUCGGAAAUGGCAACUUGCGCGGUGGAGGUGUUCGGGCUCCUGGAGGACGAGGUAGGCCCUGCUAGUUGCAGAUUUCUCAUCUCACCGCCUUCCAGCAGAGCCAGUUGAUCUUAAAGAAAAUAGUGCCAAAG